GCACACCAUCAUCAGACGGUAGGAACGGUGGAAAGAAGUCAUAGAACUUUUAAUGAAUACAUCCGGUCAUACCUAUCGGGUGAUAAAACUGACUGGAGGGCUUGAAAAUGGAAGUCAACGGAAAAAAGCAAAAUACUGCACUUUGAGCGCGCUCCAGAGUCAAGGAGGAUCGAAAAAACCGAGACAAAACGAAUGGAAAUUGGCUAUAAUCGAAAGGCUACUAGGUUUUGAAGUAUAACAGCCACAAUAACAGCUUGAGUAGAAAGGUUUGGCAAGAAUAAUCACAGAGCAAAAUUAAGUUAACCGCUGAUCUAUCCCCUUGCCGUCUUAUUCGCAAUCUUAGCUACUUCAAACAGAAAUGAAUUUAUUUUGGGCCGAACACUUUUAUACGCCAAUUCCUAAGGUAAUUUUAUCACAGAAAGCUUUGACCACCGCUUAAAUAUCCGUAGAGAGGAGUCGUGCUUGAAUCUACUUAAUGUUGACGAGUCCAAGUAUCAAGUAAAAAAAAAAGUACACGCAGUGUUAAAGUCGCGAAUUUAUGGUAGUGAGUGUUAAAUAAUCUAUCUCAGGGUACUAUUAUUGGUGGUUUAGCAAUAACAGACCAUAGCGAUUCCCAGAAAUUCGCAGAAGAAAAGUAUCAGAAGAAUUAAUUGGGCUAACCCAACUCAAUUGAGGUUGCUGAACGGAUCUGCAGAAUUUGAGAAAGAUAUUAGUUCAAAACUUCAACAGGCCAACAAUAGGACUUAUAAAAAUUAUUAAGUCGGCGACAAAGUUUUCUAAAAAUCAAAGAAACGAAUGGGAAAUAAACUGUAAAUAGACAAUUAACGUAAACAGACAAUGUCUCAAAUGAGACAAGAGAGAACGCGAGUUUCUCGACUAUCAGAUACCUUAACCUAAAAAUAUUUGCUUAUAUAGUUCUAAGGAUAGACGGACGAUCAGACGGCCAAGGCUAGAUCCUAAAAAAAGAUUUUAAACUAUUUAUAGAAUUCAUUUUAAAAUUAGAUUUUUCGUUUAUUGUUUUUUUUGGGGUUAGGACUACCUAAAACAAUAUUAGUCAAACUAGUCAAAUUUAUAAAAAAUGAUCUGAAAAUGUAAUGUUCUUAAUAAUAAAAGCAAAAGUAAAUUAAAUAAGCCGCGAAGCUUUAGAUGUAAUUUAUAAAUUGUUAAGCCUGAAAAAUCUCCAGCACAUUGAGCACAUUAAGGAGGGAGUUUGCAUGAAGCCACAAUUAGGCAGCAGUAUUCCUUUGGUAAUUGUUUUGAUGUGUUUCUACGUCACCUUUCAGCUCCAUCGCGUUUAUAGCCGCUAGAGGAAUUUGACCACCGUACUUAAGGAACAAAGGAGUUAGCAGGCAACACAUUGGUGUGGCAAAAUCGGAUGCUGUUCUUCAAUUCA
Molecule: long non-coding RNA, 1393 nt
Organism: Drosophila santomea
Lineage: Eukaryota; Metazoa; Arthropoda; Insecta; Diptera; Drosophilidae
Exons: 2
Source: RefSeq, a predicted model, not a curated record